AUGGGACACUUCUGGUGGAAUCAGAUGAAUCCCGGGGUACCUGAGGCUCAACCUCCUCAGGUUUUGGCAGUGAACCCUGAGUUUAGACAGUCCCUUGGCCGGCCUGCGAGGAGUACCUUGCGGGUUCCUCGGGACCUGCAGCUGCCCCCGACCAAGAGAGACCAGCCGGCCUUCAGAGAACAAAGAAAAGAAAAACUCAAGGAAUAUCUGUUAAUACGAAAAACAACGUUUCCAUACAAACAAGAGAAUCAGAUAUCCAGAGAUCAGAAAAUGGUGACAUCUGAGGAUCAGGUCCAAGAAGGGAAAAAAGUUGUGAAACUCAAAACAGAAGUGGCUGAUAAAGAAAAUAUUGGAAGUAUAGUUGAAAAAAACUGCGUUCCAUUAAAGGCUGAAGAAGUAGCCAGCUCAGAAACGCACCACCCAAAGGGUGAUGUGCAAGCCGUGCAGCUGUUAUCCACCGGAGCGGAUUUCCCAGGUCAGCCCGUGAUGUUAGACCAGGCUUGUCACCAUAAAGACAGUGCAGGGACGCAAGUGACGGCAGAGAAGCCGAAGCAAGACACUAACAUGUCUAAAAAACGAGUGCUUGGCUAUUAUCACGGCCAGAUUGUUCAGUCUAAGAUCAAUUCAUUCAGAAAGCUUCCCAGUGUCAAAGACGAGAGUCUCGCAGCAACCAAGAAACUCCCCACUACUGUGUCUAAAGCCAGGAAGGCUCACAUUGAGCCUGGGAAGGCAGUCAGUGUCAGAGCCUCAAAUACAGCUGCUGCCACCAGGUCUGCAGACACUAACUCCGGGAGCGCCUUGUCCAAGAACACACUUGUGCGACCACCUAUCCGAAGUCUCCACAGUAGAACCCACGGCGGGACCCUCGGUGCUGUGAAGCAAGGCCUCGGCGGGACCCUUGACAGUGUUACAGUCAGAAAAGAGUCGCUUGAAAAGGAGUCACAUCGACCAGAACCGGUCAUGUCUGUUGUCAAAACCAGUUCUUCUCAGGACACAAAAAGAGGCAAGGCCCCACCAAGAAGCAUAGCAUGUAAAGAUGUAACCAGGACUAACUCAUCUAAUGCCAGGCUGACAGGAAAGUCCAGAGAUCCUGACCAGCGCAGAUACACGAUCGCAGGAGCGGCUGUCCUUAGAUCAGCUCAGCCCAAAGAUACCACAGCAGACAGGAAAGCUCAGAUGACCGACUGGAGAACUGGCAAAGGGAAGGGGCUAAAAAGGCCUCCUCAUUCAGAGGUCACCCAGGCUGAGCCCAAGAGACAAAACGAAAACGCAGUUGGGUCCUUUUGGACCACCAUGGCAGAAGAAGACGAGCAGAGAUUAUUCACUGAAAAAGUAAACAAAACGAUUUCUGAGUGCCUGAACCUCAUUAAUAAGGGAUGCCCAAAAGAAGAAAUUUUAGCUACACUGAAUGACCUGAUUCAUAAUAUUCCAGAUGCCAAGAAACUUGUUAAAUAUUGGAUAUGUCUUGUACGUAUUGAACCAAUCACAAGUCCUAUUGAAAAUAUUAUUUCAAUUUACGAGAAGGCCAUUCUGGCAGGGGCUCAGCCUAUUGAAGAGAUGUGACAUAUAAUCAUAGAUAUUCUAACAACGAAGAAUCAAGAAAAAGCCAAUUUGGGAGAAAAUAUUGAGGAGGCUCAUGCAACCAAGGAACAUAUCCAAGAAGUAGAUGUUGAAACUAAUCUCGGGUCAGGAAAACCAGAAGAGGAGAAUGAACAUCAUAGAAAAGUUGAGGUUUACGAAGACAAUCAGGACAGCGAAACAGAAGAUCCAACCAAUGAUCUAACAACCCCAGACUCAAAAGCCGAGGCAGGUUGCCUGAUUCGAUAUAAUGUAUCUUCUACACCUCCCUUGCAAAGUAUGAAAAAGACGCAACAUGAUAAAAAUUCCACAUUUAAAGAGCUAAAGUUUCUGACACCCGUGAGACGUUCGCGCCGCAUUCAAGAGAAGACUUUACAACUGCCAGACAUGUUAAAAGACCAUGACCCUUCCGUGUCUUCCCUGGAACAGUUGUCCGAAUUGGGAGGGGAUGCUUUUGUUUGCCGCCCUAAUGCAGCCCUGUGCCCUCUGUUCUGUGAGACCGACGUCGUGGAGGAGGAAUAGCACUCCUGAGGCCUCAGCAGUUAUGGUUGCCUUGUGUACAACUUUACAACAGGUCUGAUGCUGUCUGCAUGCCUAAGUAUGAUACAGGUGAACACCAAUAGCCUGUUUAUUGUGUUUUAAAAAUAUGUUAGCUAUUU
This is an RNA transcript of Rattus norvegicus (Norway rat), 2237 nucleotides long. It is a transcript of the gene named cytoskeleton-associated protein 2, pseudogene 3, with no coding region annotated. Lineage: Eukaryota; Metazoa; Chordata; Mammalia; Rodentia; Muridae. The record is from RefSeq and is a predicted model, not a curated record.